UAUCUCCGCACAUUCGUGGGACAUGCUAGGUUGGGAUUUCGGGGGCCCACUGCGAGUCCUAAGAUUGGGGCUUUAACAUCUGUAGUGUGGGAGGAACCACUUCCUUAUCCCAAUUUCCCCUUUAUCAAGGCCCUGUGCAUUCACGCCCCCAAACGGAGUGUUAGGGGUUGGAAGCCGCUCCGAUUUUCCUAUUCUUCUUUACCAUAAAAGUCCCGGACUUGGGGAUCAGUGGGAGGUUAGUAUUUUUGGCCCCGUGCGGGCCCCCUCACAGAGAAAUCAAAAUUCUUGGGGUUCCGGGGGGGAGUAUGGGUCCAAAGGCUCAAAACUUAAAAAAAUUGACGGAAGGGGCCCCCGCCGGGCGUGGCACUUGCGCCUUAAUUUGUCUCAACCCGGGAAAACUCACCAGGUCCAGACACAAUAAGGAUUGACAGAUUGAGAGCUCUUUCUUGAUUUUGUGGGUGGUGGUGCAUGGCCGUUCUUAGUUGGUGGAGUGAUUUGUCUGCUUAAUUGCGAUAACGAACGAGACCUUAACCUGCUAAAUAGCCAGGCCCGCUUUGGCGGGUCGCCGGCUUCUUAGAGGGACUAUCGGCUCAAGCCGAUGGAAGUUUGAGGCAAUAACAGGUCUGUGAUGCCCUUAGAUGUUCUGGGCCGCACGCGCGCUACACUGACAGAGCCAACGAGUUCAUUUCCUUAGCCGAAAGGUUUGGGUAAUCUUGUUAAACUCUGUCGUGCUGGGGAUAGAGCAUUGCAAUUAUUGCUCUUCAACGAGGAAUGCCUAGUAAGCGCUUGUCAUCAGCAUGCGUUGAUUACGUCCCUGCCCUUUGCCGCUCGCCGCCCGUC
This 840-nucleotide ribosomal RNA is filed under the name uncultured fungus. Its description in RNAcentral is "bacterial SSU rRNA". It matches the Rfam family "Eukaryotic small subunit ribosomal RNA", at positions 637 to 1677 of the family's 1831-position model. Lineage: Eukaryota; Fungi. The record is from RNAcentral.